Molecule: ribosomal RNA, 293 nt
Filed under: uncultured bacterium
Lineage: Bacteria
Description: partial 16S ribosomal RNA
Rfam family: Archaeal small subunit ribosomal RNA
Source: RNAcentral
GUGCCAGCCGCCGCGGUAAUACCGGCAGCCCGAGUGAUGGCCGAUCUUAUUGGGCCUAAAGCGUCCGUAGCCGGCCGGACAAGUCCGUUGGGAAAUCCACGCGCUCAACGCGUGGGCGGCCAGCGGAAACUGUCCGGCUUGGGGCCGGAAGACCCGAGGGGUACGUCUGGGGUAGGAGUGAAAUCCCGUAAUCCUGGACGGACCGCCGGUGGCGAAAGCGCCUCGGGAGAACGGACCCGACGGUGAGGGACGAAAGCCAGGGUCUCGAACCGGAUUAGAAACCCGGGUAGUCC